AUCCUUUGGAGCCAAAGACUCGAACAGACAUGCGAGACCUCUACCAACUGAAGGUUUCGUGAGCGCACUCCUUUGCCAAGAUCUUGGUGAAUAGUCUUUCACUGUGCAAUUUUAUCUUAGAAAUUGUUUUACGUUUGAUCAUGAUUGUGCUUGGCUGGAUGUUUUUUGUUGGACUUGUGUGUUACAUGGGCACGUUUCCAGAGUUGAUGCCUCCAACUCUGAAGUGGCAGGAGAGGUGGCCUGUUCAGGAGAGCAAAACACAACUGAGGAGGCGGGCUUUAGGUCUUGCUCUGCCACCCAGGCUGGAGUGAGGUGCAAGCAGUCUUCCCAUCUCAGCUUCUUGGGUAGCUGAUCCUCAGGCACAUGCCACCAUGCCUGGCUAAUUUUUUUUUUAUUUUUUUAGAGACAAGGUGUCACUAUGUUGCCCAGGCAGGUCUUGAACUCCAGGCCUCAAGUGGUCCCCCAGCCUUGGCCUCCCAGAGUGCUGGGAUUGCAGGCAUAAACCACCGUGCCUUGCCAGGACCAGCAUUUUUAACGUCCCUUUUGGCAGAUACUGAAACUGGAGUUAACAUU
This 573-nucleotide long non-coding RNA is filed under the name Homo sapiens (human). RNAcentral's name for it is "long non-coding RNA NONHSAT018306.2". The record is from RNAcentral. Lineage: Eukaryota; Metazoa; Chordata; Mammalia; Primates; Hominidae.